AAUCUAUAAUGAUGACACCUUCUCAAAAGAUCCUUAAAUAUCUCACAUGCAUCAUAUAGUGUCCCAAGCUCAAAUUGAGCAAAAGAAGAGAUACCAUUCCUCAAUUU
Small nucleolar RNA from Gossypium arboreum, 107 nucleotides. The record is from RefSeq and is a predicted model, not a curated record. NCBI's taxonomy places the organism in Eukaryota, Viridiplantae, Streptophyta, Magnoliopsida, Malvales, Malvaceae.